Molecule: ribosomal RNA, 385 nt
Filed under: uncultured bacterium
Lineage: Bacteria
Description: bacterial SSU rRNA
Rfam family: Bacterial small subunit ribosomal RNA
Source: RNAcentral
GGUGCAAGCGUUAAUCGGAAUUACUGGGCGUAAAGCGUGCGCAGGCGGUUGUGCAAGACAGAUGUGAAAUCCCCGGGCUUAACCUGGGAACUGCAUUUGUGACUGCACGGCUAGAGUGUGUCAGAGGGGGGUAGAAUUCCACGUGUAGCAGUGAAAUGCGUAGAUAUGUGGAGGAAUACCGAUGGCGAAGGCAGCCCCCUGGGAUAACACUGACGCUCAUGCACGAAAGCGUGGGGAGCAAACAGGAUUAGAUACCCUGGUAGUCCACGCCCUAAACGAUGUCAACUAGUUGUCGGGUCUUAAUUGACUUGGUAACGCAGCUAACGCGUGAAGUUGACCGCCUGGGGAGUACGGUCGCAAGAUUAAAACUCAAAGGAAUUGACGG